UGCACAAUUUACAGGGGUGUUCGCUGGAUAGUGACCAUAACUGAAUAAUGUCUGUAAUAUUAUGUAAUUUUCCCAUGUAGGGUGAACCAGGUCUUCCUGGGCUUCCUGGACUCCCUGGAAUAAAGGGCGAACCAGGUUUCAUUGGUCCUCAAGGAGAACCUGGCUUACCAGGGCUACCAGGAACAAAGGGUGACAGAGGAGAGGCGGGCCCUGUUGGGAAGGGUGAGCGAGGUGAGCCUGGAGUCCCUGGACCAAAGGUCAGUCUGAUUUUAUAAUGGAAAUGUUUUGUUAGUUUUAUACCUUAUGAAUACAUCUUUUCCUGCUGAGAAGU
Molecule: long non-coding RNA, 331 nt
Filed under: Manacus vitellinus (golden-collared manakin)
Lineage: Eukaryota; Metazoa; Chordata; Aves; Passeriformes; Pipridae
Description: lncRNA (ENSMVIG00005015389.1)
Source: RNAcentral